CUGAAAUCAUACUUAGCGCAAAGAGUUCGGUUC
This 33-nucleotide small RNA is filed under the name Bombyx mori (domestic silkworm). Its description in RNAcentral is "ovarian small RNA-2644". Lineage: Eukaryota; Metazoa; Arthropoda; Insecta; Lepidoptera; Bombycidae. The record is from RNAcentral.